RNAcentral lists this ribosomal RNA (446 nucleotides) under uncultured bacterium. RNAcentral describes it as "bacterial SSU rRNA". It matches the Rfam family "Bacterial small subunit ribosomal RNA", at positions 331 to 793 of the family's 1533-position model. The record is from RNAcentral.
CCAGACUCCUACGGGAGGCAGCAGUGGGGAAUAUUGCACAAUGGGGGAAACCCUGAUGCAGCGACGCCGCGUGAAGGAAGAAGUAUCUCGGUAUGUAAACUUCUAUCAGCAGGGAAGAAAACAGACGGUACCUGACUAAGAAGCCCCGGCUAACUACGUGCCAGCAGCCGCGGUAAUACGUAGGGGGCAAGCGUUAUCCGGAAUCAUUGGGCGUAAAGCGUUCGUAGGCGGUAUGUCAAGUCUGAUGUUAAAGCCCGGGGCUCAACUCUGGUUCGGCAUUGGAUACUGGCAAACUAGAAUGUGGUAGAGGUAAAGGGAAUUCCUGGUGUAGCGGUGAAAUGCGUAGAUAUCAGGAGGAACAUCGGUGGCGAAAGCGCUUUACUGGACCAUUAUUGACGCUGAGGAACGAAAGCCAGGGGAGCAAAUGGGAUUAGAUACCCCCGUAA